UUGUAGCUGGCAGUUUAUUCUGCAUGUGCCCGCCCGUCAUUUUUAUAUUUCCACCUGUGCACUUUCUGUAGACAAAAAAAAAAAGAGUUAUGGAGGUUAUUUACUGGAAAGUUAUAUUCCUUUACUUUUCUUUUUUUGUCUAUGUUUUAUCAUAUACUCCAAAAAAUGUAACAGAAUGUAUCAAUGGGCUUUAAAGCCUAUAAUUAAAAAACUAUACAACUUUCAGCAACGGAUCUCUUGGCUCUCGCAUCGAUGAAGAACGCAGCGAAAUGCGAUAAGUAAUGUGAAUUGCAGAAUUCAGUGAAUCAUCGAAUCUUUGAACGCACCUUGCGCUCCUUGGUAUUCCAGGGAGCAUGCCUGUUUGAGUGUCAUUAAAUUCUCAUCUUUAACAAUUUGUUAAAGUUGGAUUUGGGGGUUUAUUUGUUGGCUUUUUAGUCAACUCCCCUGAAAUGCAUUAGCCGGUUUGCCUUGACUUGGUCUAUUUGGUGUGAUAAUUAUCAACGCCAUUUGGAUUGUCUUGUAGCACUGCUUCUAAUGGUCCAUUUAACUUGGACAAUUUACUCUUUGACAACU
Molecule: ribosomal RNA, 573 nt
Filed under: Phaeocollybia sipei
Lineage: Eukaryota; Fungi; Basidiomycota; Agaricomycetes; Agaricales; Phaeocollybiaceae
Description: eukaryotic LSU rRNA
Rfam family: 5.8S ribosomal RNA (bases 218-371)
Source: RNAcentral